RNAcentral lists this ribosomal RNA (1446 nucleotides) under uncultured organism. RNAcentral's name for it is "SSU rRNA". It matches the Rfam family "Bacterial small subunit ribosomal RNA". The record is from RNAcentral.
GCUCAGGAUGAACGCUAGCUACAGGCUUAACACAUGCAAGUCGAGGGGCAUCAGGAAGAAAGCUUGCUUUCUUUGCUGGCGACCGGCGCACGGGUGAGUAACACGUAUCCAACCUGCCCUUUACUCGGGGAUAGCCUUUCGAAAGAAAGAUUAAUACCCGAUAGCAUAAUGAUUCCGCAUGGUUUCAUUAUUAAAGGAUUCCGGUAAAGGAUGGGGAUGCGUUCCAUUAGGUUGUUGGUGAGGUAACGGCCCACCAAGCCUUCGAUGGAUAGGGGUUCUGAGAGGAAGGUCCCCCACAUUGGAACUGAGACACGGUCCAAACUCCUACGGGAGGCAGCAGUGAGGAAUAUUGGUCAAUGGGCGCUAGCCUGAACCAGCCAAGUAGCGUGAAGGAUGAAGGCUCUAUGGGUCGUAAACUUCUUUUAUAUAAGAAUAAAGUGCAGUAUGUAUACUGUCUUGUAUGUAUUAUAUGAAUAAGGAUCGGCUAACUCCGUGCCAGCAGCCGCGGUAAUACGGAGGAUCCGAGCGUUAUCCGGAUUUAUUGGGUUUAAAGGGAGCGUACGUGGACUGGUAAGUCAGUUGUGAAAGUUUGCGGCUCAACCGUAAAAUUGCAGUUGAUACUGCCAGUCUUGAGUACAGUAGAGGUGGGCGGAAUUCGUGGUGUAGCGGUGAAAUGCUUAGAUAUCACGAAGAACUCCGAUUGCGAAGGCAGCUCACUGGACUGCAACUGACACUGAUGCUCGAAAGUGUGGGUAUCAAACAGGAUUAGAUACCCUGGUAGUCCACACAGUAAACGAUGAAUACUCGCUGUUUGCGAUAUACAGUAAGCGGCCAAGCGAAAGCAUUAAGUAUUCCACCUGGGGAGUACGCCGGCAACGGUGAAACUCAAAGGAAUUGACGGGGGCCCGCACAAGCGGAGGAACAUGUGGUUUAAUUCGAUGAUACGCGAGGAACCUUACCCGGGCUUAAAUUGCAGUGGAAUGAUGUGGAAACAUGUCAGUGAGCAAUCACCGCUGUGAAGGUGCUGCAUGGUUGUCGUCAGCUCGUGCCGUGAGGUGUCGGCUUAAGUGCCAUAACGAGCGCAACCCUUAUCUUUAGUUACUAACAGGUUAUGCUGAGGACUCUGGAGAGACUGCCGUCGUAAGAUGUGAGGAAGGUGGGGAUGACGUCAAAUCAGCACGGCCCUUACGUCCGGGGCUACACACGUGUUACAAUGGGGGGUACAGAAGGCAGCUACCUGGUGACAGGAUGCUAAUCCCAAAAGCCUCUCUCAGUUCGGAUCGAAGUCUGCAACCCGACUUCGUGAAGCUGGAUUCGCUAGUAAUCGCGCAUCAGCCACGGCGCGGUGAAUACGUUCCCGGGCCUUGUACACACCGCCCGUCAAGCCAUGGGAGCCGGGGGUACCUGAAGUACGUAACCGCAAGGAUCGUCCUAGGGUAAAACUGG